GCUCCUAUUGCAAGGAAUAGUCAGGGAUGUGUCACUGGUGCAAGCACAAGACUUGGACUGUCGACCAUCCCAGCUCUCAGUUUAACUUUUUUUUCUUCCAGGGACAUUCCAAGCAGCAGAAAUGGGAUGCAGCAGGACCAUCUCAUCAGAAGAGACAGAAGCCGUAGCUCUCCUCAAAGCAACUCAAUGGGCAGUCACAAACAACAUACAUCAGUUGGUGAUUGAAGGAGACAACCAGGAAACAAUCAAGUAUUUUUGGAGAAAUAAGCUUUUGCGGCGAAAUUGGC
Papaver somniferum (opium poppy) is the source of this 287-nucleotide long non-coding RNA. RefSeq lists it as uncharacterized. The transcript is spliced from 3 exons. The record is from RefSeq and is a predicted model, not a curated record. Lineage: Eukaryota; Viridiplantae; Streptophyta; Magnoliopsida; Ranunculales; Papaveraceae.